GAUGAACGCUGGCGGCGUGCCUAAUACAUGCAAGUCGAGCGAACAGACGAGGAGCUUGCUCCUCUGACGUUAGCGGCGGACGGGUGAGUAACACGUGGAUAACCUACCUAUAAGACUGGGAUAACUUCGGGAAACCGGAGCUAAUACCGGAUAAUAUAUUGAACCGCAUGGUUCAAUAGUUAAAGACGGUUUUGCUGUCACUUAUAGAUGGAUCCGCGCCGCAUUAGCUAGUUGGUAAGGUAACGGCUUACCAAGGCAACGAUGCGUAGCCGACCUGAGAGGGUGAUCGGCCACACUGGAACUGAGACACGGUCCAGACUCCUACGGGAGGCAGCAGUAGGGAAUCUUCCGCAAUGGGAGAAAGCCUGACGGAGCAACGCCGCGUGAGUGAUGAAGGUCUUCGGAUCGUAAAACUCUGUUAUUAGGGAAGAACAAAUGUGUAAGUAACUAUGCACGUCUUGACGGUACCUAAUCAGAAAGCCACGGCUAACUACGUG
Molecule: ribosomal RNA, 497 nt
Filed under: uncultured bacterium
Lineage: Bacteria
Description: partial 16S ribosomal RNA
Rfam family: Bacterial small subunit ribosomal RNA
Source: RNAcentral